RNAcentral lists this ribosomal RNA (275 nucleotides) under uncultured bacterium. RNAcentral's name for it is "partial 16S ribosomal RNA". It matches the Rfam family "Bacterial small subunit ribosomal RNA", at positions 333 to 605 of the family's 1533-position model. The record is from RNAcentral.
UUUUACCUACGGGGGGCAGCAGUGAGGAAUAUUGGUCAAUGGGCGGGAGCCUGAACCAGCCAAGUCGCGUGAGGGAAGACGGUCCUAUGGAUUGUAAACCUCUUUAGGCGGGGAGCAAUGCCGGGCACGCGUGUCCGGAGGGAGAGUACCCGCAGAAUAAGCAUCGGCUAACUCCGUGCCAGCAGCCGCGGUAAUACGUAGGUGCGAGCGUUAAUCGGAAUUACUGGGCGUAAAGCGCUCGUAGGCGGUAUGUCAAGUCAAGGGUGAAAUCCCCG